UGUUGGUUAUUCUGCAAUGUUUGUCCGUUAAAUUGGUCAGGUCUGGAAAGAAGCAGCCAAAACGAAAUAGGCAUGUGCUGGAAUGUGACUAACAGGG
RNAcentral lists this signal recognition particle RNA (97 nucleotides) under Pantoea sp. Edef. RNAcentral's name for it is "signal recognition particle sRNA small type". It matches the Rfam family "Bacterial small signal recognition particle RNA". From Rfam's summary of the family: The signal recognition particle (SRP) is a universally conserved ribonucleoprotein involved in the co-translational targeting of proteins to membranes. Archaeal SRP consists of a 7S RNA and homologues of the eukaryotic SRP19 and SRP54 proteins. Lineage: Bacteria; Pseudomonadati; Pseudomonadota; Gammaproteobacteria; Enterobacterales; Erwiniaceae. The record is from RNAcentral.